UAGAGUUUGAUCCUGGCUCAGGACGAACGCUUGCGGCGUGCCUAACACAUGCAAGUCAACUUGACUGAAGGAGCAAUCUGACAGUAGAGUGGCGCAAGGGUGCGUAACGCGUAAGUAACUUGCCCCAAGGUAAGGAAUAACGUCGAGAAAUCGGCGCUAAUACCUCAUAAUGCAGCGGAUCCGCAUGGAUAUGUUGUUAAAGGUUUACCGCCUUGGGAUAGGCUUGCGUCUGAUUAGCUAGUUGGUGUGGUAACGGCACACCAAGGCUACGAUCAGUAACUGGUCUGAGAGGAUGAUCAGUCACACUGGAACUGAGACACGGUCCAGACUCCUACGGGAGGCAGCAGUGAGGAAUAUUGGGCAAUGCUCGAAAGAGUGACCCAGCAACGCCGCGUGGAGGAUGAAGGUAUUCUAUAUCGUAAACUCCUGUGAGAGCAGACGAAAGACAGAUUAUUAAUCUGGAUGACUGUAUGCUCAGAGGAAGCCCCGGCUAACUACGUGCCAGCAGCCGCGGUAAUA
RNAcentral lists this ribosomal RNA (519 nucleotides) under uncultured bacterium. RNAcentral describes it as "bacterial SSU rRNA". It matches the Rfam family "Bacterial small subunit ribosomal RNA", at positions 1 to 525 of the family's 1533-position model. The record is from RNAcentral.